This 231-nucleotide long non-coding RNA is filed under the name Elaeis guineensis (African oil palm). RNAcentral describes it as "long non-coding RNA (EGUI_LNC017196)". The record is from RNAcentral. Lineage: Eukaryota; Viridiplantae; Streptophyta; Magnoliopsida; Arecales; Arecaceae.
UCCUCAGACUCCUCUUCUCUUCUCUCUCCAUUCUCGAACUCUCUUUUCUCUCUCUGUUGAAAUGAUGGGAUAGAUAGAGACUAAAGAGAAAGGCUAAAGAGGUGCUUUUUGAAAUUCAAAAGACUUGGAACGAGUUCCAAAUCAAUGGACCACAUGGCAAAGAGGGUGGUUGGCUCGUGCGGGCUUUUUUUUUAUUUUAUUUUUUGGGUUCCAUGCAUGGAUGCUGAUUUC